Salvia hispanica is the source of this 1567-nucleotide long non-coding RNA. RefSeq lists it as uncharacterized. Lineage: Eukaryota; Viridiplantae; Streptophyta; Magnoliopsida; Lamiales; Lamiaceae. The record is from RefSeq and is a predicted model, not a curated record.
CUCCAUCGGUUCCUCUCAUUUUCCAACUCACACAAAAACCCCCAAAUUGAAAAAAAACCCUAGCACUCGCUGGCCCUCUCUCUUCCAUCUCGGCUACAUCGUCGCUAUCGCGACACCCAAUCGCUGGCGCUCUGUCGCCGGUGUCGCAGCAUCCUCAUCGCACUCCGUCGCCAUCUCCGAGUGCUUCUCGGUGUCAACGCUGCUCACACGCCGGCACAUAGCACCGUCGCCGACAGCUCUCCUCCGGGUCUUGACCUGCACGAGUUGCGCAACGGCCAGAGCCGCUGCCGUCAUCUCAGGAGCUUGAGCUUGCCAUCGUAGCUCAGGCAGGCUCGGCCCCUUUCGACCUCAAGCCUCGGCUACCAACCGCCUACCAAUCGGCCUUAAAGCUAAGUCCCAUAAUUCUCAUUAUCUAGUCCAUUUGUUGAUUCUCUCUUUGUGCAGUAGCUUGUGAGAUUUAAAAAUUCUCGUAUGUUGUUUAUUGUGGAGGAUCUCGGUUGGGUAUUCAUAAUUGUACAUGAUUUAGGAAUUUAGGAAGUUGAGUUGGUAUAGCUACUGAGCUUGGGUAAAAAUGGGUAAAAAGGCAGUAGCCUGUUGUUUUCUCUUGUUGUAUUAUGUGAUAAAGCUCCAAGCUUUCUCAUCCUAAGCAUGAAGUCAAGGAAAGGCAGAGAGUGUGCUAGUGCUUUACUGUUUUCUUCCAUUAUUCCUAUCAUGCUGUUAAGAUCUGGAAUGGUGGUGUUCUAAACAUGUUUAUACUUGGUUUCCUACUAUUUUACUUGAGAUUUAGCAUGCUAUUUGAGGUUUCUAAGUUUUGGUGCUUCUAUGUGAUGAAAAAAAAGUUAUUUGGAAGGAGGAAAGGAGUGUAUUACCUCUUGAAGCAGUUGCUGUCUUUGAUUUAUGCUCCUAGCACUUAAGCUCUCUUACUCUAAAUCUUGCUAUGUUGCUGGAAAUUUCUUAUGGUGUGUAGGAGAGUUCAUAGGUGGAGUGGAAGGGAUCUUUAUAUGAGAACUUUGGGAGUACUUUGUUGAAUUAAAUGGACUGUCUCCCUUUUUUUUAUGCCCAACAUAUCUCUUGUUUUUUAUCCUCAUUGCAGCCUUCUACUUGAAACAUUUUGGUGUUACUUGGAGUACUAGGUGUUUGACUAAUUAAUUCAUCUUGUUCUCACAUGCCCUCUUAGUACUUUAGUUCAUAACUUUCUUUGUUUGCAAGCUGCAGGAGCUCGUAGGGGAAGACAAGGCUGUUGGGUGGGAUCUGCUGUAGGCAGCUUGAGUUACUCCUUUGGGCAAAUUUUUGGUCUCCUAAGAAUAAAGGAGGGUGGAUAGAUCUGGGCUACCGUGCUGUUUAUGGGUUUGGCCCGCUCCCCUCGGCCCGACGGACUGCUCGAAGACGGGCCGCUGCUUUCGGCCCCAGAGAGAGGCCUGAAGUGCAAUCAAGAUUUCUCCUUUCUCUUUGUUUUCUUUAUUUAAAGCCUUUGUUCCAUGUAUUAUUUUUUUUGAAGUUAGUUGUUCGUUUGUUGUAUAUGAAAUGUUAUUCGAAUUUCUUUAUACUUGGGAAAAAACUUCUUGUC